UACGGGGGGGGCAAGCGUUGUUCGGAAUUACUGGGCGUAAAGGGCUCGUAGGCGGCCAACUAAGUCAGACGUGAAAUCCCUCGGCUUAACCGGGGAACUGCGUCUGAUACUGGAUGGCUAGAGGUUGGGAGAGGGUCGCGGAAUUCCCGGUGUAGAGGUGAAAUUCGUAGAUAUCGGGAGGAACACCGGUGGCGAAGGCGGCGACCUGGGUAGAUACUGACGCUGAGGUGCGAAAGGCGUGGGGAGCAAACAGG
Molecule: ribosomal RNA, 254 nt
Filed under: uncultured bacterium
Lineage: Bacteria
Description: partial 16S ribosomal RNA
Rfam family: Bacterial small subunit ribosomal RNA
Source: RNAcentral